ACUGACCUUAAAAUCUUUGCAGGUGUGGCUGCUGUGUCACAAGUGAAUCAUUAGGUAGCAAAGAAGAGAGAUGCUAUGUCUACACUCUGUGUUCUUACCUAUGAACCUCUGAAUGAUUAGUAGCCUAACAUU
Molecule: small nucleolar RNA, 132 nt
Organism: Acomys russatus (golden spiny mouse)
Lineage: Eukaryota; Metazoa; Chordata; Mammalia; Rodentia; Muridae
Product: small nucleolar RNA SNORA17
Exons: 1
Source: RefSeq, a predicted model, not a curated record